CUCACGUGGCCUCGGGAACAACCUUCGCCCCGCCGGGCCCCAGUCUGGGAAAGGCGGGUUCUUUCUGACCCUCUAGCACCCUGUGGGCUGGGCUGGGCAAGUUCCCCGGCUGCGCGUAUGGGACCUGGAGAGGGAGCCUUUGUUGAGCCCAUCUUGUGUGCCAGGUGCCAGGGAUGUACAGUCCAGAGCAUAUCCUACCACAGACAAGAAGGGACAAAGCCCUAUAAACAAGCAGGUGCUUGGAAGUUGCCAUUAGUGCUGUUAUAGAGCUAUUGCUCUUACCUAAAUGAAGUGGCUACAUCAUGGAGCAGCUACCAAUGGCUUUCUCUAUUUUUUUCUCUACUGUUAAUAAUUUAGCAUCAUCUCUUCAUUCUACAGACAGAAGUACAAAUGCCAAAUAAAAACAACUGCAAAUUAAA
Suricata suricatta (meerkat) is the source of this 419-nucleotide long non-coding RNA. RefSeq lists it as uncharacterized. The record is from RefSeq and is a predicted model, not a curated record. NCBI's taxonomy places the organism in Eukaryota, Metazoa, Chordata, Mammalia, Carnivora, Herpestidae. The transcript is spliced from 3 exons.